UUGGGCGUAAAGAGCUCGUAGGCGGUUUGUCGCGUCUGCCGUGAAAGUCCGGGGCUCAACUCCGGAUCUGCGGUGGGUACGGGCAGACUAGAGUGAUGUAGGGGAGACUGGAAUUCCUGGUGUAGCGGUGAAAUGCGCAGAUAUCAGGAGGAACACCGAUGGCGAAGGCAGGUCUCUGGGCAUUAACUGACGCUGAGGAGCGAAAGCAUGGGGAGCGAACAGGAUUAGAUACCCUGGUAGUCCAUGCCGUAAACGUUGGGCACUAGGUGUGGGGGACAUUCCACGUUUUCCGCGCCGUAGCUAACGCAUUAAGUGCCCCGCCUGGGGAGUACGGCCGCAAGGCUAAAACUCAAAGGAAUUGACGGGGGCCCGCACAAGCGGCGGAGCAUGCGGAUUAAUUCGAUGCAACGCGAAGAACCUUACCAAGGCUUGACAUGAACCAGACCGGGCUGGAAACAGUCCUUCCCCUUGUGGGUUGGUUUACAGGUGGUGCAUGGUUGUCGUCAGCUCGUGUCGUGAGAUGUUGGGUUAAGUCCCGCAACGAGCGCAACCCUCGUUCUAUGUUGCCAGCACGUGAUGGUGGGGACUCAUAGGAGACUGCCGGGGUCAACUCGGAGGAAGGUGGGGACGAC
This 632-nucleotide ribosomal RNA is filed under the name uncultured bacterium. RNAcentral describes it as "bacterial SSU rRNA". It matches the Rfam family "Bacterial small subunit ribosomal RNA", at positions 554 to 1183 of the family's 1533-position model. The record is from RNAcentral.